Molecule: ribosomal RNA, 463 nt
Filed under: uncultured bacterium
Lineage: Bacteria
Description: bacterial SSU rRNA
Rfam family: Bacterial small subunit ribosomal RNA
Source: RNAcentral
GACGAACGCUGGCGGCGUGCUUAACACAUGCAAGUCGAGCGUGCAGAGGACUUCGGGUCCGAAGCAAGCGGCGGACGGGUGAGUAACGCGUGAACAAUCUGUCCCAGACAGGGGGAUAACACUCUGAAAAGGGUGCUAAUACCGCAUAAUACCACCUGGUGACAUCACCGGAUGGUCAAAGAUUUAUCGGCAAAGGAUGGGCCUGCGUCUGAUUAGCUAGUUGGUGGGUAACGGCUCACCAAGCCGACGAUUGGUAGCCGGACUGAGAGGUUGAACGGCCACAUUGGGACUGAGACACGGCCCAGACUCCUACGGGAGGCAGCAGUGGGGAAUAUUGCACAAUGGGCGAAAGCCUGAUGCAGCAACGCCGCGUGAGGGAAGACGGCCUUCGGGUUGUAAACCUCUGUCCUCAGUGACGAAGAAAGUGACGGUAGCUGAGGAGGAAGCCACGGCUAACUACGUG